CCUACGGGUGGCAGCAGUGGGGAAUAUUGCACAAUGGGCGCAAGCCUGAUGCAGCCAUGCCGCGUGUGUGAAGAAGGCCUUCGGGUUGUAAAGCACUUUCAGCGGGGAGGAAGGCGGUGAGGUUAAUAACCUCAUCGAUUGACGUUACCCGCAGAAGAAGCACCGGCUAACUCCGUGCCAGCAGCCGCGGUAAUACGGAGGGUGCAAGCGUUAAUCGGAAUUACUGGGCGUAAAGCGCACGCAGGCGGUCUGUCAAGUCGGAUGUGAAAUCCCCGGGCUCAACCUGGGAACUGCAUUCGAAACUGGCAGGCUAGAGUCUUGUAGAGGGGGGUAGAAUUCUAGGUGUAGCGGUGAAAUGCGUAGAGAUCUGGAGGAAUACCGGUGGCGAAGGCGGCCCCCUGGACAAAGACUGACGCUCAGGUGCGAAAGCGUGGGGAGCAAACAGGAUUAGAUACCCGUGUAGUC
This 465-nucleotide ribosomal RNA is filed under the name uncultured Klebsiella sp. RNAcentral describes it as "bacterial SSU rRNA". It matches the Rfam family "Bacterial small subunit ribosomal RNA", at positions 338 to 795 of the family's 1533-position model. The record is from RNAcentral. Lineage: Bacteria; Pseudomonadati; Pseudomonadota; Gammaproteobacteria; Enterobacterales; Enterobacteriaceae.